Molecule: non-coding RNA, 46 nt
Filed under: Schistosoma mattheei
Lineage: Eukaryota; Metazoa; Platyhelminthes; Trematoda; Strigeidida; Schistosomatidae
Source: RNAcentral
GUACUGCUGAGGAGUCCCGUCAUAGGACGAAAUGAUCGUCCAGUGC